Molecule: ribosomal RNA, 2920 nt
Filed under: Staphylococcus aureus subsp. aureus CIG1096
Lineage: Bacteria; Bacillati; Bacillota; Bacilli; Caryophanales; Staphylococcaceae
Description: bacterial LSU rRNA
Rfam family: Bacterial large subunit ribosomal RNA
Source: RNAcentral
UAAGUUAUUAAGGGCGCACGGUGGAUGCCUUGGCACUAGAAGCCGAUGAAGGACGUUACUAACGACGAUAUGCUUUGGGGAGCUGUAAGUAAGCUUUGAUCCAGAGAUUUCCGAAUGGGGAAACCCAGCAUGAGUUAUGUCAUGUUAUCGAUAUGUGAAUACAUAGCAUAUCAGAAGGCACACCCGGAGAACUGAAACAUCUUAGUACCCGGAGGAAGAGAAAGAAAAUUCGAUUCCCUUAGUAGCGGCGAGCGAAACGGGAAGAGCCCAAACCAACAAGCUUGCUUGUUGGGGUUGUAGGACACUCUAUACGGAGUUACAAAGGACGACAUUAGACGAAUCAUCUGGAAAGAUGAAUCAAAGAAGGUAAUAAUCCUGUAGUCGAAAAUGUUGUCUCUCUUGAGUGGAUCCUGAGUACGACGGAGCACGUGAAAUUCCGUCGGAAUCUGGGAGGACCAUCUCCUAAGGCUAAAUACUCUCUAGUGACCGAUAGUGAACCAGUACCGUGAGGGAAAGGUGAAAAGCACCCCGGAAGGGGAGUGAAAUAGAACCUGAAACCGUGUGCUUACAAGUAGUCAGAGCCCGUUAAUGGGUGAUGGCGUGCCUUUUGUAGAAUGAACCGGCGAGUUACGAUUUGAUGCAAGGUUAAGCAGUAAAUGUGGAGCCGUAGCGAAAGCGAGUCUGAAUAGGGCGUUUAGUAUUUGGUCGUAGACCCGAAACCAGGUGAUCUACCCUUGGUCAGGUUGAAGUUCAGGUAACACUGAAUGGAGGACCGAACCGACUUACGUUGAAAAGUGAGCGGAUGAACUGAGGGUAGCGGAGAAAUUCCAAUCGAACCUGGAGAUAGCUGGUUCUCUCCGAAAUAGCUUUAGGGCUAGCCUCAAGUGAUGAUUAUUGGAGGUAGAGCACUGUUUGGACGAGGGGCCCCUCUCGGGUUACCGAAUUCAGACAAACUCCGAAUGCCAAUUAAUUUAACUUGGGAGUCAGAACAUGGGUGAUAAGGUCCGUGUUCGAAAGGGAAACAGCCCAGACCACCAGCUAAGGUCCCAAAAUAUAUGUUAAGUGGAAAAGGAUGUGGCGUUGCCCAGACAACUAGGAUGUUGGCUUAGAAGCAGCCAUCAUUUAAAGAGUGCGUAAUAGCUCACUAGUCGAGUGACACUGCGCCGAAAAUGUACCGGGGCUAAACAUAUUACCGAAGCUGUGGAUUGUCCUUUGGACAAUGGUAGGAGAGCGUUCUAAGGGCGUUGAAGCAUGAUCGUAAGGACAUGUGGAGCGCUUAGAAGUGAGAAUGCCGGUGUGAGUAGCGAAAGACGGGUGAGAAUCCCGUCCACCGAUUGACUAAGGUUUCCAGAGGAAGGCUCGUCCGCUCUGGGUUAGUCGGGUCCUAAGCUGAGGCCGACAGGCGUAGGCGAUGGAUAACAGGUUGAUAUUCCUGUACCACCUAUAAUCGUUUUAAUCGAUGGGGGGACGCAGUAGGAUAGGCGAAGCGUGCGAUUGGAUUGCACGUCUAAGCAGUAAGGCUGAGUAUUAGGCAAAUCCGGUACUCGUUAAGGCUGAGCUGUGAUGGGGAGAAGACAUUGUGUCUUCGAGUCGUUGAUUUCACACUGCCGAGAAAAGCCUCUAGAUAGAAAAUAGGUGCCCGUACCGCAAACCGACACAGGUAGUCAAGAUGAGAAUUCUAAGGUGAGCGAGCGAACUCUCGUUAAGGAACUCGGCAAAAUGACCCCGUAACUUCGGGAGAAGGGGUGCUCUUUAGGGUUAACGCCCAGAAGAGCCGCAGUGAAUAGGCCCAAGCGACUGUUUAUCAAAAACACAGGUCUCUGCUAAACCGUAAGGUGAUGUAUAGGGGCUGACGCCUGCCCGGUGCUGGAAGGUUAAGAGGAGUGGUUAGCUUCUGCGAAGCUACGAAUCGAAGCCCCAGUAAACGGCGGCCGUAACUAUAACGGUCCUAAGGUAGCGAAAUUCCUUGUCGGGUAAGUUCCGACCCGCACGAAAGGCGUAACGAUUUGGGCACUGUCUCAACGAGAGACUCGGUGAAAUCAUAGUACCUGUGAAGAUGCAGGUUACCCGCGACAGGACGGAAAGACCCCGUGGAGCUUUACUGUAGCCUGAUAUUGAAAUUCGGCACAGCUUGUACAGGAUAGGUAGGAGCCUUUGAAACGUGAGCGCUAGCUUACGUGGAGGCGCUGGUGGGAUACUACCCUAGCUGUGUUGGCUUUCUAACCCGCACCACUUAUCGUGGUGGGAGACAGUGUCAGGCGGGCAGUUUGACUGGGGCGGUCGCCUCCUAAAAGGUAACGGAGGCGCUCAAAGGUUCCCUCAGAAUGGUUGGAAAUCAUUCAUAGAGUGUAAAGGCAUAAGGGAGCUUGACUGCGAGACCUACAAGUCGAGCAGGGUCGAAAGACGGACUUAGUGAUCCGGUGGUUCCGCAUGGAAGGGCCAUCGCUCAACGGAUAAAAGCUACCCCGGGGAUAACAGGCUUAUCUCCCCCAAGAGUUCACAUCGACGGGGGAGGUUUGGCACCUCGAUGUCGGCUCAUCGCAUCCUGGGGCUGUAGUCGGUCCCAAGGGUUGGGCUGUUCGCCCAUUAAAGCGGUACGCGAGCUGGGUUCAGAACGUCGUGAGACAGUUCGGUCCCUAUCCGUCAUGGGCGUAGGAAAUUUGAGAGGAGCUGUCCUUAGUACGAGAGGACCGGGAUGGACAUACCUCUGGUGUACCAGUUGUCGUGCCAACGGCAUAGCUGGGUAGCUAUGUGUGGACGGGAUAAGUGCUGAAAGCAUCUAAGCAUGAAGCCCCCCUCAAGAUGAGAUUUCCCAACUUCGGUUAUAAGAUCCCUCAAAGAUGAUGAGGUUAAUAGGUUCGAGGUGGAAGCAUGGUGACAUGUGGAGCUGACGAAUACUAAUCGAUCGAAGACUUAAUCA